Molecule: ribosomal RNA, 390 nt
Filed under: uncultured Glomeromycotina
Lineage: Eukaryota; Fungi; Glomeromycota
Description: SSU rRNA
Rfam family: Eukaryotic small subunit ribosomal RNA
Source: RNAcentral
UGGUAUGUACUAGCCUGCCGAUUCCUCCUUCUUGUAGAACCGUAAUGCCAUUAAUUUGGUGUUGCGGGGAAACAGGACUGUUACUUUGAAAAAAUUAGAGUGUUUAAAGCAGGCUAGCGCCUGAAUACAUUAGCAUGGAAUAAUGAAAUAGGACGUUAAUCCUAUUUUGUUGGUUUCUAGGAUCGACGUAAUGAUUAAUAGGGAUAGUUGGGGGCAUUAGUAUUCAAUUGUCAGAGGUGAAAUUCUUGGAUUUAUUGAAGACUAACUACUGCGAAAGCAUUUGCCAAGGAUGUUUUCAUUAAUCAAGAGCGAAAGUUAGGGGAUCGAAAACAAUCAGAUACCGUCGUAGUCUUAACCAUAAACUAUGCCGACAGGGAUCGGAUGAUGUUA